Stomoxys calcitrans (stable fly) is the source of this 455-nucleotide long non-coding RNA. RefSeq lists it as uncharacterized. The transcript has 2 exons. NCBI's taxonomy places the organism in Eukaryota, Metazoa, Arthropoda, Insecta, Diptera, Muscidae. The record is from RefSeq and is a predicted model, not a curated record.
UCACACAUUGAUUGCGCCUUGGCUCUUCAUUUCCAUCCUACAUAUAUUGCUGCAAAGUCUUGUCAUAUUUUUCGAAGCAGAUACCAUAUUGGAAGAUUUCUCAAUUGUUAUUCCAUUUUUAUUUGUUGCUGGUAUGUGGUAUCCUAUCUUCAAACAUUACAAAGCAAUUCGUUUUACCAAAUGCAAUAAACAACAACUCACUACUAGAUUUAGCCAUCUUCAACAAGACGCAACACCUGUUGAUGGUUAAAUUAAGGGACAAAAUGAGGAAUACAUUAACAUCAAAGAUCAGUACGAAUAAAAAACAAUUUGCAAAUAUGUGCUGAGUGCCCCAAGUUGGACACCAUUGAAUUAUACCUACUCACCUUAGGAUGGGGGUAUACUAAUCUAGUCAUUUCGUUUGUAACACCUUGAAAUAUUGAUCUAGCACCCCAUAAAGUAUAUAUAUUCUUGAU